GCUACCGUAGUUUACUUAAAC
RNAcentral lists this transfer RNA (21 nucleotides) under Microcanthus strigatus (stripey). Its description in RNAcentral is "partial tRNA-Phe". The record is from RNAcentral. Lineage: Eukaryota; Metazoa; Chordata; Actinopteri; Centrarchiformes; Kyphosidae.